UACGUAGGGUGCAAGCGUUGUCCGGAAUUAUUGGGCGUAAAGGGCUCGUAGGCGGUCUGUCGCGUCUGCUGUGAAAACUCAGGGCUUAACCCUGAGCUUGCAGUGGGUACGGGCAGACUAGAGUGCGGUAGGGGAGACUGGAAUUCCUGGUGUAGCGGUGAAAUGCGCAGAUAUCAGGAGGAACACCGGUGGCGAAGGCGGGUCUCUGGGCCGUAACUGACGCUGAGGAGCGAAAGCAUGGGGAGCGAACAGG
Molecule: ribosomal RNA, 253 nt
Filed under: uncultured bacterium
Lineage: Bacteria
Description: partial 16S ribosomal RNA
Rfam family: Bacterial small subunit ribosomal RNA
Source: RNAcentral